Molecule: ribosomal RNA, 938 nt
Filed under: uncultured archaeon
Lineage: Archaea
Description: bacterial SSU rRNA
Rfam family: Archaeal small subunit ribosomal RNA
Source: RNAcentral
UUCCGGUUGAUCCUGCCGGACCCGACCUGCUAUUUGGGUGAGAAUAAGCCAUGCGAGUUGAAUGGGAAUACCUAAAUUUUCCAUGGCAAACUGCUCAGUAACACCAUGAUCAACUUACCCUAUAGAGAAAAAUAACCCCGGGAAACUGAGGAUAAUGUUUCAUAGUUGAAAAGGCUUGGAAAAGUUUUUCAAUCAAAAGGAUAAAAAAAAUGGUUUUUAUCCGCUAUAGGAUAGGAUCGUGCUCGAUUAUGGUUGUUGGUGAGGUAAUGGCUCACCAAGCCGAUAAUCGAUAGGGGCCGUGAGAGCGGGAGCCCCGAGAUGGGUACUGAGACAACGACCCAGGCCUUACGAGGCGCAGCAGGCGCGAAACCUCCGCAAUACACGAAAGUGUGACGGGGUUACCCAAAGUGUUCAGUUUUGAACUGUGGUAGGUGAGUAAUGUCCCCUACUAGAAAGGAGAGGGCAAGGCUGGUGCCAGCCGCCGCGGUAAAACCAGCUCUUCAAGUGGUCGGGAUAAUUAUUGGGCUUAAAGUGUCCAUAGCCGGUUUAGUAAGUUCCUGGUAAAAUCGGGUAGCUUAACUAUCUGUAUGCUAGGAAUACUGCUAAACUAGAGGGCGGGAGAGGUCUGAGGUACUACAGGGGUAGGGGUGAAAUCUUAUAAUCCUUGUAGGACCACCAGUGGCGAAGGCGUCAGACUGGAACGUGCCUGACGGUGAGGGACGAAAGCCAGGGGAGCGAACCGGAUUAGAUACCCGGGUAGUCCUGGCCGUAAACGAUGCAUACUAGGUGAUGGCAUGGCCAUGAGCCUUGUCAGUGCCGUAGGGAAACCGUUAAGUAUGCCGCCUGGGAAGUACGGUCGCAAGGCUAAAACUUAUAGGAAUUGGCGGGGGAGCACCACAAGGGGUGAAGCCUGCGGUUCAAUUGGAAUCAACGCCGGU